CUUGCCCCGGGGCAGAGCCGCGAACGGGUGAGUAACACGUGGGUUACCUGCCCCAAUGACCGGGACAACCCGAGGAAACUCGGGCUAAUACCGGAUGCGGUCUUCGGACGAAAGGAAGCUUCGGCCUCCGCAUUGGGAUGGGCCCGCGGCGCAUUAGCUUGUUGGUGGGGUAACGGCCUACCAAGGCGACGAUGCGUAGCUGGUCUGAGAGGACGAUCAGCCACACUGGGACUGAGACACGGCCCAGACUCCUACGGGAGGCAGCAGUGGGGAAUCUUGCGCAAUGCGCGAAAGCGUGACGCAGCAACGCCGCGUGGGGGAAGAAGGCCUUCGGGUUGUAAACCUCUUUCAGUUGGGACGAAGCUUCGCGGGUUAAUAGCCUGCCGGAGUGACGGUACCUUCAGAAGAAGCCCCGGCUAACUACGUGCCAGCAGCCGCGGUAAUACGUAGGGGGCAAGCGUUGUCCGGAAUCAUUGGGCGUAAAGAGCGUGUAGGCGGCCCGAUAAGUCCGCUGUGAAAGUCCAGGGCUCAACCCUGGAAUGCCGGUGGAUACUGUCGGGCUCGAAUCCGGAAGAGGUGAGUGGAAUUCCUGGUGUAGCGGUGAAAUGCGCAGAUAUCAGGAGGAACACCAAUGGCGAAGGCAGCUCACUGGGACGGUAUUGACGCUGAGACGCGAAAGCGUGGGGAGCAAACAGG
Molecule: ribosomal RNA, 696 nt
Filed under: uncultured Actinomycetes bacterium
Lineage: Bacteria; Bacillati; Actinomycetota; Actinomycetes
Description: bacterial SSU rRNA
Rfam family: Bacterial small subunit ribosomal RNA
Source: RNAcentral